RNAcentral lists this unclassified non-coding RNA (309 nucleotides) under plant metagenome. RNAcentral describes it as "partial contains 5.8S ribosomal RNA, internal transcribed spacer 2, and large subunit ribosomal RNA". The stretch from base 1 to 105 matches the Rfam family "5.8S ribosomal RNA", at positions 50 to 154 of the family's 154-position model. The record is from RNAcentral.
GAAAUGCGAUAAGUAGUGUGAAUUGCAGAAUUCAGUGAAUCAUCGAAUCUUUGAACGCACAUUGCGCCCCUUGGUAUUCCAUGGGGCAUGCCUGUUCGAGCGUCAUUUGUACCCUCAAGCUCUGCUUGGUGUUGGGUGUUUGUCCCGUCUCCGCGCGUGGACUCGCCCCAAAGUGAUUGGCAGCCGGCGUACUGGUCCCGGAGCGCAGCACAUGACGCGCAAACGAGUGCCUUGGUACGGCGGCGUCCAUAAGCCCCUCUCUCACGCUCUUGACCUCGGAUCAGGUAGGGAUACCCGCUGAACUUAAGC